This 442-nucleotide ribosomal RNA is filed under the name Clostridium septicum. Its description in RNAcentral is "bacterial SSU rRNA". It matches the Rfam family "Bacterial small subunit ribosomal RNA", at positions 16 to 455 of the family's 1533-position model. Lineage: Bacteria; Bacillati; Bacillota; Clostridia; Eubacteriales; Clostridiaceae. The record is from RNAcentral.
GGUUAGGCUCAGGACGAACGCUGGCGGCGUGCCUAACACAUGCAAGUCGAGCGAGGGGAGUUUCUUCGGAAACAAACCUAGCGGCGGACGGGUGAGUAACACGUGGGCAACCUGCCUUGUAGAGGGGAAUAGCCUCCCGAAAGGGAGAUUAAUACCGCAUAACAUUGCAGCUUCGCAUGGAGCAGCAAUUAAAGGAGUAAUCCGCUACAAGAUGGGCCCGCGGCGCAUUAGCUAGUUGGUGAGGUAACGGCUCACCAAGGCGACGAUGCGUAGCCGACCUGAGAGGGUGAUCGGCCACAUUGGGACUGAGACACGGCCCAGACUCCUACGGGAGGCAGCAGUGGGGAAUAUUGCACAAUGGGGGAAACCCUGAUGCAGCAACGCCGCGUGAGUGAUGAAGGUUUUCGGAUCGUAAAGCUCUGUCUUCAGGGACGAUAAUGAC